RNAcentral lists this ribosomal RNA (235 nucleotides) under uncultured bacterium. RNAcentral describes it as "partial 16S ribosomal RNA". It matches the Rfam family "Bacterial small subunit ribosomal RNA", at positions 96 to 334 of the family's 1533-position model. The record is from RNAcentral.
UGGCGGACGGGUGAGUAAUGUCUGGGAAACUGCCCGAUGGAGGGGGAUAACUACUGGAAACGGUAGCUAAUACCGCAUAACGUCGCAAGACCAAAGAGGGGGACCUUAGGGCCUCUUGCCAUCGGAUGUGCCCAGAUGGGAUUAGCUAGUAGGUGGGGUAACGGCUCACCUAGGCGACGAUCCCUAGCUGGUCUGAGAGGAUGACCAGCCACACUGGGACUGAGACACGGUCCAG